Molecule: ribosomal RNA, 465 nt
Filed under: uncultured Klebsiella sp.
Lineage: Bacteria; Pseudomonadati; Pseudomonadota; Gammaproteobacteria; Enterobacterales; Enterobacteriaceae
Description: bacterial SSU rRNA
Rfam family: Bacterial small subunit ribosomal RNA
Source: RNAcentral
CCUACGGGGGGCUGCAGUGGGGAAUAUUGCACAAUGGGCGCAAGCCUGAUGCAGCCAUGCCGCGUGUGUGAAGAAGGCCUUCGGGUUGUAAAGCACUUUCAGCGGGGAGGAAGGCGUUAAGGUUAAUAACCUUGUCGAUUGACGUUACCCGCAGAAGAAGCACCGGCUAACUCCGUGCCAGCAGCCGCGGUAAUACGGAGGGUGCAAGCGUUAAUCGGAAUUACUGGGCGUAAAGCGCACGCAGGCGGUCUGUCAAGUCGGAUGUGAAAUCCCCGGGCUCAACCUGGGAGCUGCAUUCGAAACUGGCAGGCUAGAGUCUUGUAGAGGGGGGUAGAAUUCCAGGUGUAGCGGUGAAAUGCGUAGAGAUCUGGAGGAAUACCGGUGGCGAAGGCGGCCCCCUGGACAAAGACUGACGCUCAGGUGCGAAAGCGUGGGGAGCAAACAGGAUUAGAUACCCCUGUAGUC